UGAGGAAUCUUCCGCAAUGGGCGAAAGCCUGACGCAGCGACGCCGCGUGGGUGAUGAAGGCCUUCGGGUCGUAAAGCCCUGUCGGGAGGGAAGAAACAGUCUGGACCUAAUACGUCCGGGAAUUGACGGUACCUCCUAAGGAAGCACCGGCUAACUCCGUGCCAGCAGCCGCGGUAAUACGGAGGGUGCUAGCGUUGUUCGGAAUCACUGGGCGUAAAGCGCGUGUAGGCGGCUUGAUAAGUCUGGUGUGAAAGCCCGGGGCUCACCCCCGGAAGUGCACUGGAUACUGUCGAGCUCGAGUCCCGGAGAGGAGAGUGGAAUUCCUGGUGUAGCGGUGAAAUGCGUAGAUAUCAGGAGGAACACCGGUGGCGAAGGCGGCUCUCUGGACGGUGACUGACGCUGAGACGCGAAAGCGUGGGGAGCAAACAGGAUUAGAUACCCGGGUAGUCCCUGAGCGGGCUGGCAAGGCGCAU
RNAcentral lists this ribosomal RNA (473 nucleotides) under uncultured bacterium. RNAcentral's name for it is "bacterial SSU rRNA". It matches the Rfam family "Bacterial small subunit ribosomal RNA", at positions 355 to 825 of the family's 1533-position model. The record is from RNAcentral.